GCCAUCCUAGCUCAGUUGGUAGAGCAUCUGAUUCGUAAUCAGAAGGUCGUCGGUUCAAAUCCGAUGGAUGGCUCCA
This 76-nucleotide transfer RNA is filed under the name Candidatus Latescibacterota bacterium. RNAcentral describes it as "tRNA-Thr". It matches the Rfam family "tRNA". Rfam says of the family: Transfer RNA (tRNA) molecules are approximately 80 nucleotides in length. The record is from RNAcentral. Lineage: Bacteria; Pseudomonadati; Candidatus Latescibacterota.